RNAcentral lists this ribosomal RNA (253 nucleotides) under uncultured bacterium. RNAcentral's name for it is "partial 16S ribosomal RNA". It matches the Rfam family "Bacterial small subunit ribosomal RNA", at positions 524 to 776 of the family's 1533-position model. The record is from RNAcentral.
UACGGGGGGGGCAAGCGUUGUUCGGAAUUACUGGGCGUAAAGGGCGCGUAGGCGGCCUGCUAAGUCGGACGUGAAAUCCCCCGGCUCAACCGGGGAACUGCGUCCGAUACUGGUGGGCUCGAAUCCGGGAGAGGGAUGUGGAAUUCCAGGUGUAGCGGUGAAAUGCGCAGAUAUCAGGAGGAACACCAAUUGCGAAGGCAGCUCGCUGGGACGUAACUGACGCUGAGACGCGAAAGCGUGGGGAGCAAACAGG